Non-coding RNA from Insolitispirillum peregrinum, 340 nucleotides. It matches the Rfam family "Alphaproteobacteria transfer-messenger RNA". Rfam says of the family: Bacterial tmRNA, also known as 10Sa RNA or SsrA, is named for its dual tRNA and mRNA-like properties. Its role is to liberate the mRNA from a stalled ribosome. The record is from Rfam. Lineage: Bacteria; Pseudomonadati; Pseudomonadota; Alphaproteobacteria; Rhodospirillales; Novispirillaceae.
ACACUUGCGCUGUCAGAGGAACGCCUUAUAUUUGGCCCUGUCAGGGUUCGCCCUGUCUAUGAUGCUAAACUCUAGUCGAAAUAAUCGUUAUGGACCCGGGGGCAGUGCCCGGCGCCUCCACCACUCCAAGGUUCGUCACUCAAGGGAUUGCGAUCCCGACGGACGCUGUGGGGGCGAAACAGGAUCGACAUGCGUGGUAAAGGGCUAGACUGUAUCCGGCAUUGUACCGCCGUCAUCGGGCUAUAUUUACACAUGCCAACGACAACGUUGAGUAUGCCGCUGCCGCUUAAUAACCGGUAAGCGCGGUUCGGAGGGCACCGGGCAACAGAAGCCCUCCACU